CACAGACAGCAGGAUGAAGUAGCUGCAGCUGGAGCUACAGAAAUAGCAGAUACCUGCUCACCCUUUUCAUCAUCACUUCUGACCCUCAGCAGUGGCCUUCACUUGGGCCUCUAAUCCUCCAGGUCUGAUGGCUGCAGGAUGAGGAUAGCACACUGUUCAGCAGAGACCCAGCCUGAUCUGAACUGAAAGGUUCUUUGUUAUCACGAAUGGAUACGUCAAUAACUCUGUGACAUCAUCGGGAGAUCUGGAUUAUUUAUGUAUGCAUCAUGGUAAAAGCUCCUGUGUCUCCUUGAACUAGUCUUAUCUUCAGUCCUUCAGUGUAACAUGCGUCCCUUCUGGUCAUCCUUCACCUCAGACCUCCAUGCAUCCCUCCUCUGGUCAGACUGCAGCCUCAGCCCCCAGCUCUGACAGGACUACAACCAGCCAGACUAGUUUGCCAUGUCUGUAUUUACUUUGUGUAUUCAUCAACAUCAUCAACAUGUGCAUAAGCCAGUCAUAUUGGCUGUAUUAUGUAUGAUUUCAUCAAAUAUAUUGA
Long non-coding RNA from Thunnus maccoyii (southern bluefin tuna), 535 nucleotides. RefSeq lists it as uncharacterized. The transcript has 4 exons. NCBI's taxonomy places the organism in Eukaryota, Metazoa, Chordata, Actinopteri, Scombriformes, Scombridae. The record is from RefSeq and is a predicted model, not a curated record.